RNAcentral lists this transfer RNA (55 nucleotides) under Parachtes ignavus. Its description in RNAcentral is "tRNA-Ile". The record is from RNAcentral. Lineage: Eukaryota; Metazoa; Arthropoda; Arachnida; Araneae; Dysderidae.
UAUAUUAUGCCUGAUUAAAGGGUUAAUUUGAUAGAUUAAAUUAAGGUUAAUUUUC